CCACCCCAAAAAUGUCAAUAAAGACAUAACAACAACCGUAGGAAUAAAAAUGCUUGCCACAAAAUCUGCAAAUUUCUGAAUUGGAGCUUUGGACAUUUGGGCUGUCUCAACCAAGCUAAUUAUCUGGCUCAAAACUGCAUCAGAUCCUACUUUGGUAGCUUGUAUUUGAAGCACACCAUGCAAAUUUAUUGUACCUCCAAUAACCAAAGAAUUAGCCUCCUUCAAAACAGGUGCAGAUUCACCAGUUACCAUGCUUUCAUUAACAUAACUUGAACCCCAUACAAC
This 285-nucleotide unclassified non-coding RNA is filed under the name Hevea brasiliensis (rubber tree). The record is from RNAcentral. Lineage: Eukaryota; Viridiplantae; Streptophyta; Magnoliopsida; Malpighiales; Euphorbiaceae.